This is a long non-coding RNA of Drosophila pseudoobscura, 1194 nucleotides long. RefSeq lists it as uncharacterized. The transcript is spliced from 3 exons. NCBI's taxonomy places the organism in Eukaryota, Metazoa, Arthropoda, Insecta, Diptera, Drosophilidae. The record is from RefSeq and is a predicted model, not a curated record.
GAAAAACAGAAAACAUGUUCAAUAAUUCAUUCGAGAGCUCUCUCUGUCUGUCCUUUUCCUGUGAGGUGAAAGUGAAUGUUCUUUUGGUGGUUUAUGGCCACGUCGGCAACUGUUGAUCUGGCAGCCUGGCCGGCUCUCCUCUGAUGUCAUUUGUCGCGCGGUUUGUGGCCGCUGUGGCACUUGCCUCCCCCUCUCUCUCUCGGUUGCCGCCUGUCACGUUUCAGGCAUUUGCAUGGCCUGCCACAUACGAAUGCACUCGUGCAACAAUGGAAUUCUGGGCUCCGCAGCAUAUGCACGAGCUGCAGUUGCACCUGAUUGCACUUUAUUCCAACGACAGGGCCUGACAAGCGGCACACUGGGCUUUGAGGGACUAUUUCUGAGGCAAAACCCGACUUUUAUGGGUCUUUAAAGGGUGGUCUAUGGCCUGAGGUCAAGCACCUUAGAGCUUUAUGCAAAUCUCCGAUUAAUUAUCCAUCGAUUAGCUAUUGUUUUUGAGACAAUACAUGAUUUACGAUUGGUGAAUCAAGUAUCCGUCAUGGGGUUCAAUUUGCAUUCAAUUGUUAAAAGAAUGUUGGGAGUUGUCGGGGGAAAAAGAGCUUCCUGCUUGAGAUUCCCGGGAAGAUCUUUGACCCACAGUUCUCCCUGGUAGAUUGCUCUAUUUAAACCCUCAAUAUGUUUGUGGCUAAUCGUUAACUUAAUUGUUACAGGGCCGCCAUGCUUGACCCCCCCCAAAGGUGAGAAAGCAAAUCCGAUUUCGCUUCGCUGCAACCAGUGUGCCCCGUGCCGUGCCGCCUCUCCGACACUGGGCCACAAAUCGUUUAGCGGUCAAUAUUAGCCUCAGGUACGAGCCAGCGACCGAGUCCGACUCCGAGUGUAACCUUUUAAGCUCUAACCUUGGUGUCUGCCUCAAGCAACACCUGAUAUGGAUCAGUGUGUGGCAUGGGAGUGGAGUGGAGUGGCAGCUAAUUGAAAGCUCUUGCUCUUGCCACAUUGUGGGAAAUUCUAUGACCAUAAAGAUGUCAUCUCCUGCGCUUUGCAGAGGGAGAAAUAUAUCAGAGAUAUCAGCCCCAAAGAAUUCACUUUUGGGAGGCAAAAACAAAGCAAAACUCGUUUGGUCUGAAAGCCAGUUCAUAUAAUUGUUAUUACUCCACGCUUUGUUUUUGUUUUUAUUUUGUGUGUCAAUAAUUAAGCAAA